RNAcentral lists this ribosomal RNA (826 nucleotides) under uncultured Pseudomonas sp. Its description in RNAcentral is "bacterial SSU rRNA". It matches the Rfam family "Bacterial small subunit ribosomal RNA", at positions 40 to 861 of the family's 1533-position model. Lineage: Bacteria; Pseudomonadati; Pseudomonadota; Gammaproteobacteria; Pseudomonadales; Pseudomonadaceae. The record is from RNAcentral.
CGGCAGGCCUAACACAUGCAAGUCGAGCGGUAGAGAGAAGCUUGCUUCUCUUGAGAGCGGCGGACGGGUGAGUAAUGCCUAGGAAUCUGCCUAGUGGUGGGGGAUAACGUUCGGAAACGGACGCUAAUACCGCAUACGUCCUACGGGAGAAAGCGGGGGACCUUCGGGCCUCGCGCCAUUAGAUGAGCCUAGGUCGGAUUAGCUAGUUGGUGAGGUAAUGGCUCACCAAGGCUACGAUCCGUAACUGGUCUGAGAGGAUGAUCAGUCACACUGGAACUGAGACACGGUCCAGACUCCUACGGGAGGCAGCAGUGGGGAAUAUUGGACAAUGGGCGAAAGCCUGAUCCAGCCAUGCCGCGUGUGUGAAGAAGGUCUUCGGAUUGUAAAGCACUUUAAGUUGGGAGGAAGGGUAGUAACUUAAUACGUUGCUACUUUGACGUUACCGACAGAAUAAGCACCGGCUAACUUCGUGCCAGCAGCCGCGGUAAUACGAAGGGUGCAAGCGUUAAUCGGAAUUACUGGGCGUAAAGCGCGCGUAGGUGGUUCAGUAAGUUGGAUGUGAAAUCCCCGGGCUCAACCUGGGAACUGCAUCCAAAACUGCUGAGCUAGAGUACGGUAGAGGGUAGUGGAAUUUCCUGUGUAGCGGUGAAAUGCGUAGAUAUAGGAAGGAACACCAGUGGCGAAGGCGACUACCUGGACUGGUACUGACACUGAGGUGCGAAAGCGUGGGGAGCAAACAGGAUUAGAUACCCUGGUAGUCCACGCCGUAAACGAUGUCAACUAGCCGUUGGGAGUCUUGAACUCUUAGUGGCGCAGCUAACGCAUU